AUCGAGGUGGCCGCCUGGGACUCCCUCCUCCAAGACAUCGCACUUAUGCCGAUGAACAUCGUGGAGGACCGGGAUGUUCUUUCCUGGCGCCUCGAGCCCUCUGGCCGUUUCUCCACGAAGUCCCUAUACGGCGCCAUUGCUCCCUCGACGGCCGCGGAACCGUUUAGCCUGAUCUGGGACAUCCGGCUUCCGCUGAAGAUCAGGAUCUUUCUGUGGCAAUGGAUCCGUGGACGUCUCCCCUCUGGGGUUGAAGUCCUCAAGCGUAAUGGCCCGGGUGAUGGGAUGUGCCCCAUCUGUGGCACGAUUGAGGAUGCUAACCACAUCUUUUUCUCGUGCUACUCUGCUCAGUUCCUCUGGGCCUGCUUCCGCGAAACGGUUGGUGGACAGUGGUGUAAUACCAACUUCCCCGAUCUGCUUGCCGAGCUUAACGCCUCCCCUACUCGCUACCGCUAUAUUAGAUGGCUGUGUGUUGUUCUCGCCUGGACGCUUUGGAACAUUCGCAAUAAGCUUGUUAUUCAGAAGGUUCCCCUCCGACGUGCGACUGACGCAAUCUUCAAACUGUGUGGUUACCUGCAGCUUUGGCGGCCGCUUAGCCGCCCCCAGGACCUGGACGUCAUCACCACCCUGCUCUCCGAUCUUUGCUCGAUGGCGCUCCGCGUGGCUCCCCCGCCGCCGCCUCCUCCUCUUGAGCCUGACUAG
This 699-nucleotide ribosomal RNA is filed under the name Triticum aestivum (bread wheat). RNAcentral describes it as "partial small subunit ribosomal RNA". Lineage: Eukaryota; Viridiplantae; Streptophyta; Magnoliopsida; Poales; Poaceae. The record is from RNAcentral.